Molecule: long non-coding RNA, 439 nt
Organism: Mytilus californianus (California mussel)
Lineage: Eukaryota; Metazoa; Mollusca; Bivalvia; Mytilida; Mytilidae
Exons: 3
Source: RefSeq, a predicted model, not a curated record
CGAUCUGUAUGUGGGGGGACUUCUAGAGAAGUCCAUGAACGGACGUGUUGGAGAAACAUUUGAAUGUUUAAUUGGUAAACAAUUUUAUCUGACAAAAUGCGGAGAUAGAUACUGGUAUGAGAGGAGAGACUCAGAUUUUGGCUUUACAAAAGCACAGCUUAACUCAAUCAAAAAGAUAACAAUGUCCAAAGUGCUCUGUCAAAACCUUGGAUUGGAUCGUAUUCAAAACGAGGCUUUCAUCCGACCCAAAAACAAAAGAAAAUUGAAGAAAUGUAAGAACUUGCCGGAUUUGAAUUUAAAUCUAUGGAGAGAAAAUACUGACUAACAGCAACAAUUUUACAAAGGAGAAACUUUAGAAAGAGUUUGAAAGUUGCACGAGCAAUUAUGAUAAAAUAAAAUGUAAAUAGCAUUGAAAUAAAUCGCAUGAUUAUUAACAUAU